RNAcentral lists this unclassified non-coding RNA (290 nucleotides) under Hevea brasiliensis (rubber tree). Lineage: Eukaryota; Viridiplantae; Streptophyta; Magnoliopsida; Malpighiales; Euphorbiaceae. The record is from RNAcentral.
AUUCAAAUUCUACUAUAAUGAGUCAAUGAUGGAAGACCCAUGGAAAGCAUUGAAGCCGGUUAUAUGGAAGCCACGUGGCGAUACACAGGACUGUCUGAAAUCCCGGCUUCCCAACUCCAUCAGCGCAAAAAGAGCUAAACUUGGAGAGACUCCAACAAAAUCUACUCCCCAGAAAUGCCUCGCUGAAUAUCUGGCUGCCGCUUUCAAUGAAGCAGCUGGUGAAGACUGUGAAUAAUGAAUCUAACACACAAAGCUUUUGAUGCUUGAACUUUUUAGUUAUUUUAAUGUCA